RNAcentral lists this transfer RNA (71 nucleotides) under Sandaracinaceae bacterium. Its description in RNAcentral is "tRNA-Asp". It matches the Rfam family "tRNA". Rfam says of the family: Transfer RNA (tRNA) molecules are approximately 80 nucleotides in length. Their secondary structure includes four short double-helical elements and three loops (D, anti-codon, and T loops). Lineage: Bacteria; Pseudomonadati; Myxococcota; Polyangiales; Sandaracinaceae. The record is from RNAcentral.
GCCGCGUUGUGCAUCUGGGAUGCAGCCCGACUGUCGCUCGGGUGAGAGGGGUUCGAUUCCCCUACGCGGCG